CAGAAGGUGAGCCCCGCUGGCUGUGCCGCUGGCAACAAGCCUGAGGCUUUGCAUUCGGCGCCGGCACCCUCGCAGUCUGUUGACUUUCUCCAGGAGCCGUGGGUGUGGUUAUGUGUGGGUCUUGGCGUGAAGCGCCAUUAGUGCGAGUUAGAACUGCAGCGUUCCAGUAACAACUCGGGGGAAGUCGUUGUCCCUGAAGGGCUCUGCGGCUGGCCAGGAUGAUCUGGGUGGAUGGUGGGUGGUUUCUGGGGGCCGGUCACACUGGUAUCAGCUGUGUUUUGUUUGCACGAACUUUGCUUUGUGUAGGUUUUUUUUUCUGUUGCCAUCUUGGUGUGUGAAAGUGCUGAAUUUUGUUCUUAUUUGAUGGCUGGAGUGGGGUGGAGGGAGCGCCCAGCCUGUGGGACACACGUGGCAGUCCCUGGCUGCUAGGCCAGGAGCGUCCUGUAGAUGCGGUGCACACUACGCCUUCAUCUACCUGGGCUGCAGGUGGCACUGCUCUGUGGGCCCCCGGGGCUGGGGAAGACCACCCUGGCACACGUGAUUGCGCGUCACGCGGGGUACUCUGUGGUGGAGAUGAACGCCAGUGAUGACCGUAGCCCGGAGCUCUUCCGUACACGCAUCGAGGCG
RNAcentral lists this long non-coding RNA (627 nucleotides) under Pan troglodytes (chimpanzee). Its description in RNAcentral is "long non-coding RNA NONPTRT005879". The record is from RNAcentral. Lineage: Eukaryota; Metazoa; Chordata; Mammalia; Primates; Hominidae.